AGUGAAUAGAACCGGGUAGUCCUAGCCGUAAACGAUACUCGCUAGGUGUCGGCCACGGUGCGACCGUUGUCGGUGCCGUAGGGAAAGCCGUGAAGCGAGCCACCUGGGAAGUACGGCCGCAAGGCUGAAACUUAAAGGAAUUGGCGGGGGAGCACCACAACGGGUGGAGCUUGCGGUUUAAUUGGAUUCAACGCCGGAAAUCUUACCGGGACCGACAGCGAUAUGAAGGCCAGGCUGAAGACUUUGCCGGAUUAGCUGAGAGGUGGUGCAUGGCCGUCGUCAGUUCGUACUGUGAAAGCAUCCUGUUAAGUCAGGCAACGAGCGAGACCCACGCCCACAGUUGCCAGCGUACUCUCCGGAGUGACGGGUACACUGUGGGGACCGCCGCUGCUAAAGCGGAGG
This 402-nucleotide ribosomal RNA is filed under the name uncultured bacterium. RNAcentral's name for it is "bacterial SSU rRNA". It matches the Rfam family "Archaeal small subunit ribosomal RNA", at positions 726 to 1125 of the family's 1478-position model. The record is from RNAcentral.